Long non-coding RNA from Fukomys damarensis (Damara mole-rat), 611 nucleotides. RefSeq lists it as uncharacterized. The transcript has 3 exons. The record is from RefSeq and is a predicted model, not a curated record. NCBI's taxonomy places the organism in Eukaryota, Metazoa, Chordata, Mammalia, Rodentia, Bathyergidae.
UCCAGCCAGCCCAGGCUGUGGUCCUGUGUGGAAUCCUCCAAGAUCUACUCUAGACACCCUCCUGUCUUGCCAUGGAAGCAGGAGAUAUGUCUGGCCCCGUGGAUCCCAAAUCUUCCACUCUAGCUCACACUCUAGCUGUGCCACUAUACUUGCAGCUAGUCAGCAGGAUUGUCUUGCUAUAUUGUAGUAUAUUGUGGAGAAGUUCAAACACCCUGUCCUCUAUUGUGUCUGAUUCUUGGAUUUGGAUUUGUUAAUGUAGUUCUAGGAGAAAACCCCUGGUUGGAACCUUCCAACACUGGUCCCAGAACACCCAAUCCAGAAGAUGAACAGCGACGAAAGUCAGGAAAAGCUUUAAUCAGUGAGGCUUUGCCACUGGGAAGGACAGCUAAAGAGGCUCAAGACAGACCUUAAGCGAUUAACCUGCCCAUGGGGAUAGCUGAUCAAGAAACUGACACAGAACCGGAUAUAAAAUGAAGACCCUGGGCUGUCAUGGAUCGCACAGCUAUCACGUUGGCGAGUCCUGUUUUUCUAGUCAUGGGCCCUGAAUUAAAGUAUCAGAUUGGGCGUCCCGCUUUUUGGUUGGCCCUGACCUCCCAGAACCCGCAGGGCUG